This 478-nucleotide ribosomal RNA is filed under the name uncultured bacterium. RNAcentral describes it as "partial 16S ribosomal RNA". It matches the Rfam family "Bacterial small subunit ribosomal RNA", at positions 28 to 523 of the family's 1533-position model. The record is from RNAcentral.
GACGAACGCUGGCGGCGUGCUUAACACAUGCAAGUCGUACGGUAAGGCCCUUCGGGGUACACGAGUGGCGAACGGGUGAGUAACACGUGGGUGAUCUGCCCUGCACUUCGGGAUAAGCCUGGGAAACUGGGUCUAAUACCGGAUAGGACCACUGCCUGCAUGGGUGGUGGUGGAAAGCUUUUGCGGUGUGGGAUGGGCCCGCGGCCUAUCAGCUUGUUGGUGGGGUGAUGGCCUACCAAGGCGACGACGGGUAGCCGGCCUGAGAGGGUGACCGGCCACACUGGGACUGAGGGACGGGCCAGACGCCUACGGGAGGCAGCAGUGGCGAAGAGUGCACAAUGGGCGCAAGCCCGAUGCAGUGACGCCGCGUGAGGGAUGACGGCCUUCGGGUUGUAAACCUCUUUCAGCACCGACGAAGCGCAAGUGACGGUAGGUGCAGAAGAAGUACCGGACAACUACGUGCCAGCCGCCGCCGUAA